UCUUACCACAUGCACAAAUCUUCUUCCCUCUUUAAUUACAAACAAACACACAAAUCCCUCCGCAAUACACACACACACACACUUGUGCAUACAUAUCUUUUUCACUUGUUCAGCAUUCUUUAACUUGUUCCCCUGCAGUUGGAACACAACAUAAAUCUCCAAAUAUAUAAACUAAGCUUUAUGGCUACAUCCAGAAGCUACCAUCUUUUCAUGGUCAGGCUUGUAAUCACAGUUCUCAUGAUCCUCAUC
This 249-nucleotide long non-coding RNA is filed under the name Panax ginseng (ginseng). RNAcentral's name for it is "long non-coding RNA (PGIN_LNC015660)". The record is from RNAcentral. Lineage: Eukaryota; Viridiplantae; Streptophyta; Magnoliopsida; Apiales; Araliaceae.